AUUGAUUUUAUGCUUGCAUAAAUGAUUUUUGGAUUCGGAGCGAGUGGCGAACUGGUGAGUAACACGUGGGUAACCUGCCCCGAAGCGGGGGAUAACAUUUGGAAACAAGUGCUAAUACCGCAUAAUUAGUUGGAACCGCAUGGUUCCAACUUGAAAGAUGGCUCUGCUAUCACUUUGGGAUGGACCCGCGCCGUAUUAGUUAGUUGGUGAGAUAAAAGCCCACCAAGACGAUGAUACGUAGCCGACCUGAGAGGGUAAUCGGCCACAUUGGGACUGAGACACGGCCCAGACUCCUACGGGAGGCAGCAGUAGGGAAUCUUCCACAAUGGACGAAAGUCUGAUGGAGCAACGCCGCGUGAGUGAUGAAGGUUUUCGGAUCGUAAAACUCUGUUGUUAAAGAAGAACAAGUGUUAGAGUAACUGUUAACACUUUGACGGUAUUUAACCAGAAAGCCACGGCUAACUACGUGCCAGCAGCCGCGGUAAUACGUAGGUGGCAAGCGUUGUCCGGAUUUAUUGGGCGUAAAGCGAGCGCAGGCGGUUUUGUAAGUCUGCUGUGAAAGCCCUCAGCUCAACUGAGGAAGUGCAGUGGAAACUACAAAACUUGAGUACAGAAGAGGAAAGUGGAACUCCAUGUGUAGCGGUGAAAUGCGUAGAUAUAUGGAAGAACACCAGUGGCGAAGGCGGCUUUCUGGUCUGUUACUGACGCUGAGGCUCGAAAGCAUGGGUAGCGAACAGGAUUAGAUACUCUGGUAGUCCAUGCCGUAAACGAUGAAUACUAGGUGUUGGAGGGUUUCCGCCCUUCAGUGCCGCAGCUAACGCAUUAAGUAUUCCGCCUGGGGAGUACGACCGCAAGGUUGAAACUCAAAGGAAUUGACGGGGGCCCGCACAAGUGGUGGAGCAUGUGGUUUAAUUCGAUGCUACGCGAAGAACCUUACCAGCUCUUGACAUCUUCUGCCAACCCAAGAGAUUGGGCGUUCCCUUCGGGGACAGAAUGACAGGUGGUGCAUGGUUGUCGUCAGCUCGCGUCGUGAGAUGUUGGGUUAAGUCCCGCAACGAGCGCAACCCUUAUUAUUAGUUGCCAGCAUUUAGUUGGGCACUCUAGUGAGACUGCCGGUGAUAAA
This 1123-nucleotide ribosomal RNA is filed under the name uncultured bacterium. RNAcentral's name for it is "bacterial SSU rRNA". It matches the Rfam family "Bacterial small subunit ribosomal RNA", at positions 47 to 1162 of the family's 1533-position model. The record is from RNAcentral.